GUUUAUUAAUUAUAAUAAAGUAACCGAAAAUAAACGGGUAAAAUACGGUAGUGAUAAAAAUAAACCCAGUAAAUAUUAGGAUCUAAAUAAGUAAGCCUAAUAUUAACUAAAAAGUGAAUCAAAGCUUUGGAGGAAAUAAAGCUUAUAAAAGACCCGAGGUAACGGGGUGUAUGUAACACCCUAAAACAUAAAUCCUUUUAUUAUAAAUCCGACGUUGAUAUUAACGAGAUAAACUAACUAGUGAUAAAACUAACCUAGUUAGAUAAGAGUUUAGUGAUAAUAAAUUAGAGUGUUAGAAACACCCAAAAUAAAAACCUCAUGAAAGUAGGAGGGUUAAAAGUGCCAAGUAUGAAACAAGUUUUAUUAAACACAAAUAAAAUAAAAAUCCAACACACACACUGGUGUGUGGAUCGACCAGAACGUAGAGGGGGGCGAUCAGGUUUCUCCAAAACCCUAACUCACCCAAAAAUUCACAAAUUGAAGGUCAAGAUCAAUUCCAAAACGAAAUCUGAGCCUAGAUUGGUGAUCUCCAUUGCAAGGGGGUCAUAAGCGUAGGAGCCAUGUCAACAUGGACACGAGCAUGGAAGGGCAAUGGGUCAAAGCUAAAUACGGAAGCUAUGCAUGAACUCGGACGCACGAGGUAAGUGAUUUCUGUAAUCACUUCUUAUUUUAUUUAAGUAAAGUAGCGUUAGUUGAUUAAGCAUGAUGAUGUUUGAAGUUUCAUAUGGUUUUGGUCGUAUGAAAUUGGUAAUUUUAGCUUAGUAGACCGAAUGGGACAAUAUAAAGUUGUAAUGAUAUGACGAAUAAUGUCUAAGUAAUGGCUACGGUAUGUAAUCGGGUAAUGGGUAAAAUUGCACAUAAGUGCACCAACCGAGAAUGGGGACUUAGGUUAAUGGGUCAAAGUGAAGGUAUACUUUAGCACGGAACGUUUGUACAAGCAAUGUCGAUAGUAUUUCAUGUGCCCGGUUAGUGUAAGGUGUUAUAACAUUAACAUUAUGUGAGCCUUAAGUGUAAACAUAUGAGUUGUUGAUAAAUGCAUGACGGGUCGAAUAAUUCGUAAUGAAUAAUAAGCC
This is a long non-coding RNA of Helianthus annuus (common sunflower), 1073 nucleotides long. RefSeq lists it as uncharacterized. The record is from RefSeq and is a predicted model, not a curated record. The transcript is spliced from 2 exons. NCBI's taxonomy places the organism in Eukaryota, Viridiplantae, Streptophyta, Magnoliopsida, Asterales, Asteraceae.